RNAcentral lists this long non-coding RNA (652 nucleotides) under Bos taurus (domestic cattle). RNAcentral describes it as "long non-coding RNA NONBTAT015694". Lineage: Eukaryota; Metazoa; Chordata; Mammalia; Artiodactyla; Bovidae. The record is from RNAcentral.
GGAAGAUGUAGAGUGAGGAAAGAGCUCUGAUCUGUUUGGGGAAAAAGUAUCACAGCCUAUUAGUUAGGAGCGAUGAAAUUGAGACAGCUUCAGGGACUCCAUUAAGUGUGUGGUGUUUAGGCAGACUGUGUCCCUAGGUAAAGUGUGCUGUUGAGGAGAAGAGUGUACAACAAAAUAAUUGGGCUUGGGAAAUCAGUGGGCUUCAGCGGCCGCAUGUCUCCUGGUGGGGAGUAGAGGGAGGGAGAUAACAUUUUUUUUCUCCCCGUCUUCAGCACACCUCCUUUCUUUUAGCAUAAAAGCUAUACUGAAUAAAAUUGCAGGGAAUUUCUUGCUGAGUGGAUGGACGGCCAGUGCAUUUUGAAUAAUAAAAACAAUGGGUAUAAUUAAAUUUCAUCUGAUGCAGGAAGGAUUUAGAGCAUGUCACCUUGGAACCAUCUCAUUCUGUGUUAUUCUCUAGGCAUCUCGAUAUUUGGUUGCAGCAGCUGAAUGACAAUAAUUCAGAUUUGAUCAGUAAUGGCAGUGUCUGUAGGGACAUGUAUUAAUGCACUGAUGUGUCUGGAAUUAGGUUCUUAAAUAAAACAUCAUUGCUAUGUAUUUAUUUUCAUUUUAAAGGAAUAAAUUGAAAUCAACAGACGGAACUAGACUGACUUUU